UUCCUUUACAGUAAGACUUAUUAUGCCUAGGCCCACCUGUAGGGAGAUGUAAUUUGACCCAGUACAGUAAGACUUCUGCCUAGGCCCACUGUAGAGAGAUGCAAUUUGACCCUGUACAGAAGUGCUAUUUGGCCCCACAUACCAGAAGAUAGCGUAGUAACAUCUAAAUUAUUUUAUGUAUAUAUUUUUUUACGGCAGAGGAAGCAGGUCAAGGGGCAAAGAAAGUACUAUUGAGAAAAGAAAGCUUGCUGUUCACUGUGUUUAUCAGAGUGGCCAAAAGAGAGGUCAGCUUCAGGAGGAGAGGUGUCUCCAUACCCUCCUCUUGAAAGAGUUCAAGUCAUAGGCAGGAGGAAGUACAGACCAAGGAAGACUGUUCGGGAGUUUGCCAUGAAGGGGAUGAAGGAAUGAGGAUGCUGGUUAACUCUUGCAUGAGGGAUUGGGACUGUUGUUUCUUUACUGAUAUCUUUAUUAAUUGAAAUGAAACGUGUUGACUCAAAAAGGUUUAGUGGUUCACCAUUUUGGUACAGGUUUUGUAUCAGUAUUAAUUAUUUAACCCAGGAUUAUUUACCUUCAAUACAUCUAACUAUCUGUCUACUACUACUACUACUACUACUACUACUACUACGGGCCUCCAUCUAUUAGAGUUGCGUUGUGAGCGGUAUAUUCUCUCAUAUCCUUUCACAAAGCAAUUCAUUGGCCCCACCCCGCCAAUGACUGUGGCCGACAACCAUCUUUAUUUAAUAUUACAAACUUUACUAAGCAUUUUAUUUUUAAGCUAACAGAGCUUGUGGUUGAUACGACUAUCAACCGCCGUCGCCUCAAAGUCCAGGUCGGCAAUGUGGGUGGUUUUGGGUGCAGGCGACCUGGUUCCUCUCAGGCAGACCAAGGCUGACCUCAGGAGGGAGAAGGACAGCCUGCAUCUCAUCCAGGCGACCACACUGCUUCUUGGCUGCUGUUUCUUAUCCGCCAGUGUUUCGGCGAGUCUUGCGUAGAAGCUCUGCGCCCUUGGUCCCAUCCCUCCUGCCGUCAAGUCCGGUGUCCCAACCUCACUACAACGCUGACUACUGCCUUAAGUGUGGUAGUGGAGGAUAGAGGCCGAGUGGAGGCUACAGCGGACUAUUCCUGCGAGAAGGGGAGGAGGAUAGUCGGGAAUAGUCAGCGGAAGUGUGGUAGUAAUGGUAUCUGGAGUGGCAGUCAACCGCGCUGUGAAUGUCCAGAGGAUGCCUACAACACCAUAGGCUCCGAUAGUAGUAGUAGUAGUAGUGUGAGUACUACUUCUACUUCUACCGCUAGCAACACCGGGCUCUACAUCGGACUAUUCUUCGGGCUCAUCCUGGCGAUAGUCUUCAUAGGAGUGCUAGUCUACUUCAGAAUGUUUUGGGCGCCCAGCCGUACACGUGAACUAACAGUCUUGGCUUCAGGGCAGGUCGCUAAAAUGAUGGUGGCUCGCGCUAAUUGCAGUUCACUGUAAUUAGCCUGUGGUACCCCGCUGACAACUUUCGAUGACUGAGAAACUGCACCAUCAGCCGCUACACAUUGAGUCCUGCCAGUGAGAAAUGAGUGCAGCCACAUCCCGAGUGUUCCCGUAAUGGCCGUUUGUCUGGCCUUGUGUAACAAAAUGCCAUGGUCUACCAUGCCGAAAGCUUUCGCAAAAUCAAGGAGUGUCGGUGAUUUGAUUGAGGCAGUAUUCCUCGGCAAAGUGCAUGACAGCUUUUGCCUGGGUCCUCAUGUCUUCCGCUCCUCCAUACACACACUCCAAAUUCCAGUCUGUUAGCGGCGGAAAGUUUAAGUCUCCAAGGCAGUGCCAGUGUUUGGAGUGCCACUGUGCCUGGCCGUCCAGCGCUGCCCGGCACACGAUGGCAUCCAGCUGCCCACCAUUGUCAGGGAGUGCAUUGACCAGAUAGAGGUACAUUCCGCCCAUUGGGUAGCGGCAGCAGUGGAGAGCGGAGUCUGGAACAGCUGCAAAGUGUGGCAGAGAUUGAGGUGGAAAUGAUGAAGCAGGAAUCUCGAUUGGCACACCUCCAUACUCAGGUAACCGCCGGGCAGGUGUCUCGGAGCAAGGAGGAGCAGCUUUGGGAGUCUACAGCGGCACCCUACUCAACCCACCACCACCACCACCACCACCCAUAAUGUGACAGUUAUUAGCACGGAGGAAGUGCCGACUAGUGAGACUGGUUGUGUUUCCGACACUGUGCCACUGUUGACGAGUGCAGUGCCGUGAGUGCCAGUGUUAGUGUGGCACCUCAGACGGAGGGUGAUUCGGCACUCCAGG
Molecule: RNA transcript, 2272 nt
Organism: Eriocheir sinensis (Chinese mitten crab)
Lineage: Eukaryota; Metazoa; Arthropoda; Malacostraca; Decapoda; Varunidae
Gene name: CUB and sushi domain-containing protein 3-like
Exons: 9
Source: RefSeq, a predicted model, not a curated record